AGAUUAAGCCAUGCAUGCGUAAGUACAUACUUUUUAUGGUGCAAACCGCGAAUGGCUCAUUACAUCAGUUGUGGUUCAUUAGAUCAUAUGUUUAAAUGGAUAACUGUGGCAAAUCUAGAGCUAAUACAUGUUUACAAACUCUGACUUUCGGGAAAGAGUGCUUUUGUUAGAUCAAAACCAAUGAUUUCCUUCACGGAAAUCUACUUAAUGCUGAGUCUGAAUAAAUUUGCAGAUUGCACGGUCUUCGUACCGGCGACGUAUCUUUCAAGUGUCUGCCCUAUCAACUGGCGAUGGUAGUUUAUGUGCCUACCAUGGUUGUAACGGGUAACGGGGAAUCAGGGUUCGAUUCCGGAGAGAGAGCAUGAGAAACGGCUAUCACUUCCAAGGAAGGCAGCAGGCGCGCAAAUUACCCAAUCCUAGAUCGGGGAGGUAGUGACGAAAAAUAACAAUGCCGCAGUCGAAUAGACUCGGCAAUUGGAAUGAGUACAAUCUAAAUCCUUUAACGAGGAACAAUUGGAGGGCAAGUUCUGGUGCCAGCAGCCGCGGUAAUUCCAGCUCGAAUAGCGUAUAUUAAAGUUGUUGCAGUUAAAAAGCUCGUAGUUGGAUAUCAGGAGAUGAUUCACGGACUUCUUGAUGGAGCAACCGUGUUUUCGCUUCUUUUUGUACCGUUUCAUCGUUGAUGCACUUUAUUGUGUGUCUCGUUUGAACGGCCUUUUUACUUUGAGAAAAUUAGCGUGCUUAACGCAGGCGUUGAAGCUUGUAUACUGUUGCAUGGAAUAAUGAAAUAGGACCUCGGUUCUGUUUUGUUGGUUUCCGGAAGCUGAGGUAAUGAUUAAUAGGGACAGACGGGGGCAUUCGUAUUGUGGUGUUAGAGGUGAAAUUCUUGGAUCACCGCCAGACGAACAACUGCGAAAGCAUUUGCCAAGAAUGUUUUCAUUAAUCAAGAACGAAAGUUAGAGGUUCGAAGACGAUUAGAUACCGUCCUAGUUCUAACUAUAAACUAUGCCAACUGGGGAUCCGUCGAUUGCCAUUUGUAGGCUCGGCGGGCACCUACGGGAAACCAAAGUGAACAGGUUCCGGGGGGAGUAUGGUUGCAAAAUCGAAACUUAAAGGAAUUGACGGAGGGGCACACCAGAAGUGGAGCCUGCGGCUCAAUUUGACUCAACGCACGAAAACUUACCCGGCCCGAACACCGUGAGGAUUGACAGAUUGACAGCUCUUUCUUGAUUCGGUGGGUGGUGGUGCAUGGCCGUUCGUAGUUGGUGGAGCGAUUUGUCUGGUUUAUUCCGAUAACGAACGAGACUCUAGCCUAUUAAUUAGGGUGCCGAUUCAAUUAGUCGGCAUUGUUAAACUUCUUAGAGGGACAGGUGCUUCUUAAGCACACGAAGAGGAGCAAUAACAGGUCUGUGAUGCCCUUAGAUGUUCGGGGCUGCACGCGCGCUACAAUGGAGGGCUCAGAAAGCGUAACGAUUUCGACAGAAAUCGGCAAUCAUAAAUAGCCUUCUUGAUUGGGAUCGGAGAUUGUAAUUAUUCUUCGUCAACGAGGAAUUCCUAGUAAACGCGAAUCAUUAUUUCGUGUUGAUUAAGUCCCUGCCCUUUGUACACACCGCCCGUCGCUACUACCGAUUGAAUGGCUUAGUGAGGUCUACGGAUAGGCUACAAGGUAGCCAUCAGCUCUGUUGUAUUACCUAAAAGUUGGCCGAACUUUACCAUUUAGAGGAAGUAAAAGUCGUAACAAGGUUUCCGUAGGUGAACCUGCAGAAGGAUCA
Molecule: ribosomal RNA, 1769 nt
Filed under: Mediorhynchus grandis
Lineage: Eukaryota; Metazoa; Acanthocephala; Archiacanthocephala; Gigantorhynchida; Gigantorhynchidae
Description: SSU rRNA
Rfam family: Eukaryotic small subunit ribosomal RNA
Source: RNAcentral